This 497-nucleotide ribosomal RNA is filed under the name uncultured bacterium. RNAcentral's name for it is "partial 16S ribosomal RNA". It matches the Rfam family "Bacterial small subunit ribosomal RNA", at positions 28 to 507 of the family's 1533-position model. The record is from RNAcentral.
GAUGAACGCUGGCGGCGUGCCUAAUACAUGCAAGUCGAGCGAACAGACGAGGAGCUUGCUCCUCUUACGUUAGCGGCGGACGGGUGAGUAACACGUGGAUAACCUACCUAUAAGACUGGGAUAACUUCGGGAAACCGGAGCUAAUACCGGAUAAUAUAUUGAACCGCAUGGUUCAAUAGUGAAAGACGGUUUUGCUGUCACUUAUAGAUGGAUCCGCGCCGCAUUAGCUAGUUGGUAAGGUAACGGCUUACCAAGGCGACGAUGCGUAGCCGACCUGAGAGGGUGAUCGGCCACACUGGAACUGAGACACGGUCCAGACUCCUACGGGAGGCAGCGGUAGGGAAUCUUCCGCAAUGGGCGAAAGCCUGACGGAGCAACGCCGCGUGAGUGAUAAAGGUCUUCGGAUCGUAAAACUCUGUUAUUAGGGAAGAACAAAUGUGUAAGUAACUAUGCACGUCUUGACGGUACCUAAUCAGAAAGCCACGGCUAACUACGUG